Long non-coding RNA from Ostrea edulis (European flat oyster), 951 nucleotides. RefSeq lists it as uncharacterized. NCBI's taxonomy places the organism in Eukaryota, Metazoa, Mollusca, Bivalvia, Ostreida, Ostreidae. The transcript has 4 exons. The record is from RefSeq and is a predicted model, not a curated record.
GGGUUUUUUUUGUCGUCAUUGUUAUUUUUCAGACAGAGAGAUGAGACUGUACGUUGUGGUAACGCUGUCGGUUUGCUUACUAAUGUCGGGACAAGGUGAUACCCUGAGGUAUAACAACAUGACGAUCCACACCAAAAGCCGAAUGAUAAGAUCCAUACAAGGCGAGCUGGAGCUGAUGAAUGCCCGGGCUUUGCUGGCUUUAUUGAAAGACCGCGUGGGACAUGGAUAUAAUGCAUCUUAUUAUGGAAAAUAGUUCUAAAUUUUCUGUUGAUAAGUGCGGAGAGACAGCCACUACAACUUGGAAUUAAAGUGGGGAAAAUGAAAUUGUAAAUAUCUCUCUGUUUUAAAUGGUCCGUGAUUUUGAACUCUCGGAACGUAGGGUUUUAUUACAAUUGUUGCAACCUCCAAGACACUGUCACUGUGCUUCAUUUAGCGUGCUUAAAAUUUAGCGCAAUCAUCGAUAAUGUGCUGUUUGCGCUAACCGUGAAUGAGCGCUUCUGUGGUUUACAUUGAUUAAUAGUAAAUAUCAUUUUUGAUUUAGACGGUUCACAAUUCUUAACUCUCAGAACAUAGAGUAUUAUAAUUGUUGCAACCUUUAAGACACUGCAAUUGUGCUUAAUCUAGCGUGCUUCAAUUCUAGCGCAAUCAUCGAUACAUGUAAUGUGCUGUUUAGGGUAAUCAUGAAUUAGCGCUUCUGUAAUUUUACUUGAAUUUUCAUUAUAUAGCAGUGGCGGAUCUAGAGGGUGUAGGGGGAUGCAACUCCCUCCUUUGGAUGAAUGGUUUUUUUUAAAAAGACUUAUUUUUGCCAUCUUGGAGUCUUCAACACCCCCAUCCCCACUUUCCUGGGCGGAAAAGGUACAAACUUUGGGUCGCAAUUCACCCACCCCCUUUGAAAUGUUUUUGGAUCCGCCACUGUAUUGCAUAUUGAAUUGAUAAUCUGUACUAAAAUUG